Molecule: ribosomal RNA, 253 nt
Filed under: uncultured bacterium
Lineage: Bacteria
Description: partial 16S ribosomal RNA
Rfam family: Bacterial small subunit ribosomal RNA
Source: RNAcentral
UACAGAGGUCUCAAGCGUUGUUCGGAUUCAUUGGGCGUAAAGGGUGUGUAGGUGGCGCGCUAAGUCGGGUGUGAAAUUUCGGAGCCUAACUCCGAAACUGCAUUCGAUACUGGCGUGCUUGAGGACUGGAGAGGAGACUGGAAUUCAUGGUGUAGCAGUGAAAUGCGUAGAGAUCAUGAGGAAGACCAGUGGCGAAGGCGGGUCCCUGGACAACACCUGACACUGAGGCACGAAAGCUAGGGGAGCAAACAGG